GACGAACGCUGGCGGCGUGCUUAACACAUGCAAGUCGAACGGAAAGGCCCUGCUUUUGUGGGGUGCUCGAGUGGCGAACGGGUGAGUAACACGUGAGUAACCUGCCCUUGACUUUGGGAUAACUUCAGGAAACUGGGGCUAAUACCGGAUAGGAGCUCCUGCUGCAUGGUGGGGGUUGGAAAGUUUCGGCGGUUGGGGAUGGACUCGCGGCUUAUCAGCUUGUUGGUGGGGUAGUGGCUUACCAAGGCUUUGACGGGUAGCCGGCCUGAGAGGGUGACCGGCCACAGGGAGACUGAGAGACGGCCCAGACUCCUACGGGGCAGCGGUGGGGAAUAUUGCACAAUGGGCGGAAGCCUGAUGCAGCAACGCCGCGUGCGGGAUGACGGCCUUCGGGUUGUAAACCGCUUUCGCCUGUGACGAAGCGUGAGUGACGGUAAUGGGUAAAGAAGCACCGGCUAACUACGUG
This 466-nucleotide ribosomal RNA is filed under the name uncultured bacterium. RNAcentral describes it as "partial 16S ribosomal RNA". It matches the Rfam family "Bacterial small subunit ribosomal RNA", at positions 28 to 507 of the family's 1533-position model. The record is from RNAcentral.